RNAcentral lists this ribosomal RNA (425 nucleotides) under uncultured bacterium. RNAcentral's name for it is "partial 16S ribosomal RNA". It matches the Rfam family "Bacterial small subunit ribosomal RNA", at positions 354 to 796 of the family's 1533-position model. The record is from RNAcentral.
GUGGGGAAUAUUGGACAAUGGGCGCAAGCCUGAUCCAGCCAUGCCGCGUGAGUGAUGAAGGCCUUAGGGUUGUAAAGCUCUUUUGUCCGGGAAGAUAAUGACUGUACCGGAAGAAUAAGCCCCGGCUAACUUCGUGCCAGCAGCCGCGGUAAUACGAAGGGGGCUAGCGUUGUUCGGUAUCACUGGGCGUAAAGCGCACGUAGGCGGACCAUUAAGUCAGGGGUGAAAGCCUGGAGCUCAACUCCAGAACUGCCUUUGAUACUGAUGGUCUCGAGUUCGGAAGAGGUUGGUGGAACUGCGAGUGUAGAGGUGAAAUUCGUAGAUAUUCGCAAGAACACCAGUGGCGAAGGCGGCCAACUGGUCCGAUACUGACGCUGAGGUGCGAAAGCGUGGGGAGCAAACAGGAUUAGAAACCCUAGUAGUCC